UUGGGAUUGAACMSGGCCCAAAUUCUUANGGGRGCAGCAGUGGGAAUYUUGCACAAUGGAGGAAACUYUGAUGCAGCGAUGCCGCGUGAGUGAAGAAGGCCCUUGGGUUGUAAAGCUCUUUCGUCGGGGAAGAAAAUGACUGUACCCGAAUAAGAAGGUCCGGCUAACUUCGUGCCAGCAGCCGCGGUAAUACGAAGGGACCUAGCGUAGUUCGGAAUUACUGGGCUUAAAGAGUUCGUAGGUGGUUGAAAAAGUUAGUGGUGAAAUCCCAGAGCUUAACUCUGGAACUGCCAUUAAAACUUUUCAGCUAGAGUAUGAUAGAGGAAAGCAGAAUUUCUAGUGUAGAGGUGAAAUUCGUAGAUAUUAGAAAGAAUACCAAUUGCGAAGGCAGCUUUCUGGAUCAUUACUGACACUGAGGAACGAAAGCAUGGGUAGCGAAGAGGAUUAGAUACCCUCGUAGUCCAUGCCGUAAACGAUGUGUGUUAGACGUUGGAAAUUUAUUUUCAGUGUCGCAGGGAAACCGAUAAACACACCGCCUGGGGAGUACGACCGCAAGGUUAAAACUCAAAUGAAUUGACGGGGACCCGCACAAGUAGUGGAGCAUGUGGUUUAAUUCGAAGAUACGCGCAGAACCUUACCAACACUUGACAUGUUCGUCGCGACUCUAAGAGAUUAGAGUUUUCGGUUCGGCCGGACGAAACACAGGUGCUGCAUGGCUGUCGUCAGCUCGUGUCGUGAGAUGUUGGGUUAAGUCCCGCAACGAGCGCAACCCUCACUUUUAGUUGCCAUCAUUAAGUUGGGCACUCUGAWAGAACUGCCAGUGAUAAGCUGGAGGAAGGUGGGGAUGACGUCAAGUCCUCAUGGCCCUUACGUGUUGGGCUACACACGUGCUACAAUGGCAUCUACAACAGGAAGCAAAACGGCAACGUUAAGCAAAUCCCGAAAAGAUGCCUCAGUUCGGAUUGCACUCUGCAACUCGAGUGCAUGAAGCUGGAAUUACUAGUAAUCGUGGAUCAGCGUGCCACGGUKUAAUGCGUUCCCGGGUCUUGUACACACCGCCCGUCACACCAUGGGAGUUGGUUCUACCU
This 1088-nucleotide ribosomal RNA is filed under the name uncultured Pelagibacterales bacterium. RNAcentral describes it as "bacterial SSU rRNA". Lineage: Bacteria; Pseudomonadati; Pseudomonadota; Alphaproteobacteria; Candidatus Pelagibacterales. The record is from RNAcentral.